AAGAGCAGCAGGGGUAGGAGCCUGCUCCAGCAGACCUUGACAUGGUGGGGGUCGUUGGUUCGAGUCCAAUCGCGCUUACCA
RNAcentral lists this transfer RNA (81 nucleotides) under Pseudomonas mediterranea. RNAcentral describes it as "tRNA-Val". The record is from RNAcentral. Lineage: Bacteria; Pseudomonadati; Pseudomonadota; Gammaproteobacteria; Pseudomonadales; Pseudomonadaceae.